GGGGUUGUAGCUCAGUGGUAGAGCGCUUGCCUAGUAUGUUUGAGGCACUGAGUUCAAUUCUCAGCAUUCA
RNAcentral lists this transfer RNA (70 nucleotides) under Ictidomys tridecemlineatus (thirteen-lined ground squirrel). Its description in RNAcentral is "Spermophilus tridecemlineatus (thirteen-lined ground squirrel) tRNA". It matches the Rfam family "tRNA". Rfam says of the family: Transfer RNA (tRNA) molecules are approximately 80 nucleotides in length. The record is from Rfam by way of RNAcentral. Lineage: Eukaryota; Metazoa; Chordata; Mammalia; Rodentia; Sciuridae.